UACACUUGUAAAGUGGCGAACGGGUGAGGAAUACAUGGGUAACCUACCCUCGAGUGGGGAACAACCAGCCGAAAGGUUGGCUAAUACCGCGUACGCUUCCGGGUCUUCGGAUUCGGAAGGAAAGUCAUACCGUGGGUAUGACGCUCAAGGAUGGGCUCAUGUCCUAUCAGCUUGUUGGUGGGGUAACGGCCUACCAAGGCGACGACGGGUAGCCGGCCUGAGAGGGCGACCGGCCACACUGGGACUGAGACACGGCCCAGACUCCUACGGGAGGCAGCAGUGGGGAAUAUUGCGCAAUGGGCGAAAGCCUGACGCAGCGACGCCGCGUGUGGGAUGAAGGCCUUCGGGUUGUAAACCACUGUCGGGAGGGACGAAUGCGCCGCAAGGCGAGUGACGGUACCUCCAAAGGAAGCACCGGCUAACUCCGUGCCAGCAGCCGCGGUAAUACGGAGGGUGCGAGCGUUGUCCGGAAUUACUGGGCGUAAAGCGUGCGCAGGCGGUUAUGUAAGACAGAUGUGAAAUCCCCGGGCUCAACCUGGGAACUGCAUUUGUGACUGCAUAGCUAGAGUACGGUAGAGGGGGAUGGAAUUCCGCGUGUAGCAGUGAAAUGCGUAGAUAUGCGGAGGAACACCGAUGGCGAAGGCAAUCCCC
Molecule: ribosomal RNA, 651 nt
Filed under: uncultured bacterium
Lineage: Bacteria
Description: bacterial SSU rRNA
Rfam family: Bacterial small subunit ribosomal RNA
Source: RNAcentral